CAGUCGCCGCGGGAACACGUAGGUGGCAAGCGUUAUCCGGAAUUAUUGGGCGUAAAGCGCGCGUAGGCGGUUUUUUAAGUCUGAUGUGAAAGCCCACGGCUCAACCGUGGAGGGUCAUUGGAAACUGGAAAACUUGAGUGCAGAAGAGGAAAGUGGAAUUCCAUGUGUAGCGGUGAAAUGCGCAGAGAUAUGGAGGAACACCAGUGGCGAAGGCGACUUUCUGGUCUGUAACUGACGCUGAUGUGCGAAAGCGUGGGGAUCAAACAGGAUUAGAUACCCGCGUAGUCCCUGUCUCUUAUAC
This 301-nucleotide ribosomal RNA is filed under the name uncultured bacterium. RNAcentral describes it as "partial 16S ribosomal RNA". It matches the Rfam family "Bacterial small subunit ribosomal RNA", at positions 509 to 807 of the family's 1533-position model. The record is from RNAcentral.